GCUGGUUUUGAUGGACUUCCCACUUUUCAACCUGGCCCUCAUCCCCAGCCUCUCUUGUGCCUGCCUCUCUCAGCUGAGAGACCCCUCGUUCCAUUUUUUCUGAAUAUAAAACUGAUUUCUCUGGGGAGCUGGGUACCUGGGCAGGGACCUUCCUCUCAGUGGCCCUUCCUCUCAGGGUUCAGGGUGUGAGUUCUCAUUUCAUUCUGGGUGAGGGUGCUGCCAGGAGAGGGAUAACGUGUACCAUGGGCUGUGAGGAACCCACAGUUUGGGUUCCAGUCGUUACUGGUUUUUAUUCUAGGUGAGCAGUUAAGUAUUUGCUUGGGUUUGGAUUUCCCUGAGCCAGAUUCAUUGGGUACUUCUCUCAGCACCAGCUGCCACUAGUGAUUCAGGUGCUUAUUCUGAAGGAACUGGGCUUGAGUCCCACAGCGACGGAACACUGGUCC
This is a long non-coding RNA of Pipistrellus kuhlii (Kuhl's pipistrelle), 443 nucleotides long. RefSeq lists it as uncharacterized. The record is from RefSeq and is a predicted model, not a curated record. The transcript has 3 exons. Lineage: Eukaryota; Metazoa; Chordata; Mammalia; Chiroptera; Vespertilionidae.